Long non-coding RNA from Betta splendens (Siamese fighting fish), 705 nucleotides. RefSeq lists it as uncharacterized. The transcript is spliced from 3 exons. The record is from RefSeq and is a predicted model, not a curated record. NCBI's taxonomy places the organism in Eukaryota, Metazoa, Chordata, Actinopteri, Anabantiformes, Osphronemidae.
ACGCGUUUUUUACAACGUGUAGGAACAGGCGCACACUCAUCCCAGGGUGCGCGUUUGUUCAAAGAUUUCCCAACAGAGAGAUGUGCGCGGGGCCCCACCCUGAAACUCCACUCACACGCGCUUUCCUCGAGAGGAAACCCAGCAACUCGCCAACAACCCAAGACUGGAGCAGCUGCACUGAGGCAGAGCAGGAACACAUGCACUCAAAGCUGCCUCACGAAAGAACAGCAGCAGCCUCUUGAAGACAACUGAGUUGAAGUAGCUCCUCUGCCUGGUUGGGACGGACGGACGGACAGACGGACGGACGGACUUUCUGGUUUUCUCUCCCAGAGACAGAAGUGAACGACUGACAGCGCAUUUUCUGUGCCACAGUUCUGGUUUGUAUGGAUCAGCAGGCAGGUGGCCUCAAUCAGCAUAAAGUCCAGUAUAAGUCAAUGUGCCAGUCAGCCACAGGACUUGGAGGCAGACAGGCUUUCUUUAGUUCACUUCACGCUAACGCAUACGCAGAGUGUGAAACGCCGGUGAGACGGCUGUAGGGAGCAAAAGCAAAAGCACUAAAUCAGAUGUAAUUACACAGUCUGCGCUGCCAAAAGCCCAGAAUGAGACACCUGGGUCUCACCUCAGCAAAGUAAUAAUAGUUAAGAGAGUCCAGUCUGACACAAAGUGCACAACUGGCUUAUUAGGAAGGUGGUUAGCACCAACAAG